AAUAAGAUCAUUUUACAGUCUUUUAAUAUAAUGUUUUGACUCUUUAUCUUAUUUAAAUUUUUUUACGAUUAAUAUUUUUAUUCUUACUAGAUGAUAAAACAUGAAUAAUACUUUAUACGUGACUAAUUUUUUUAAAGUUUUUUUAAAAAAAUUCAAAUAAAAUGAAUGGUCAAACGUUGGACAUAGAUAAAC
This 192-nucleotide microRNA precursor is filed under the name Oryza brachyantha (malo sina). RNAcentral's name for it is "MIR812 microRNA precursor family". It matches the Rfam family "MIR812 microRNA precursor family". The record is from Rfam by way of RNAcentral. Lineage: Eukaryota; Viridiplantae; Streptophyta; Magnoliopsida; Poales; Poaceae.